RNAcentral lists this ribosomal RNA (542 nucleotides) under uncultured bacterium. RNAcentral describes it as "bacterial SSU rRNA". It matches the Rfam family "Bacterial small subunit ribosomal RNA", at positions 777 to 1319 of the family's 1533-position model. The record is from RNAcentral.
AAUAGAUACCCAGGUAGUCCACGCCGUAAACGAUGAGUGCUAAGUGUUGGGGGUUUCCGCCCCUCAGUGCUGCAGCUAACGCAUUAAGCACUCCGCCUGGGGAGUACGGUCGCAAGACUGAAACUCAAAGGAAUUGACGGGGGCCCGCACAAGCGGUGGAGCAUGUGGUUUAAUUCGAAGCAACGCGAAGAACCUUACCAGGUCUUGACAUCCCGGUGACCACUAUGGAGACAUAGUUUCCCCUUCGGGGGCAACGGUGACAGGUGGUGCAUGGUUGUCGUCAGCUCGUGUCGUGAGAUGUUGGGUUAAGUCCCGCAACGAGCGCAACCCUUAUUCUUAGUUGCCAUCAUUCAGUUGGGCACUCUAAGGAGACUGCCGGUGAUAAACCGGAGGAAGGUGGGGAUGACGUCAAAUCAUCAUGCCCCUUAUGACCUGGGCUACACACGUGCUACAAUGGACGGUACAAACGGUUGCCAACCCGCGAGGGGAGCUAAUCCGAUAAAACCGUUCUCAGUUCGGAUUGUAGGCUGCAACUCGCCUAC